CAGUCGCCACGGUAACACGUAGGUGGCAAGCGUUGUCCGGAAUUAUUGGGCGUAAAGGGCUCGCAGGCGGUUUCUUAAGUCUGAUGUGAAAGCCCCCGGCUCAACCGGGGAGGGUCAUUGGAAACUGGGAAACUUGAGUGCAGAAGAGGAGAGUGGAAUUCCACGUGUAGCGGUGAAAUGCGUAGAGAUGUGGAGGAACACCAGUGGCGGAGGCGACUCUCUGGUCUGUAACUGACGCUGAGGAGCGAAAGCGUGGGGAGCGAACAGGAUUAGAUACCCGGGUAGUCCCUGUCUCUUAUAC
RNAcentral lists this ribosomal RNA (301 nucleotides) under uncultured bacterium. Its description in RNAcentral is "partial 16S ribosomal RNA". It matches the Rfam family "Bacterial small subunit ribosomal RNA", at positions 509 to 807 of the family's 1533-position model. The record is from RNAcentral.